CGCACACACAUAUAUAUGUAUGUAUGUGUGUGUGUGUGUACAUGUAUACAUAUAUAUGUGUGUGUAUAUAUAUAUAUAUAUAUGUGUGUGUGCGUUUAUGUGUGUAUAUAUAUAUAAAUACAAGAUGAUAUUGUCCCAAGUAUAAAUAUUUGUCCUUAGAGAAACCAAAGGCACCAUCUCGACGAUGAUACUUCAAUAUUCCAUAACGCUUGACCAAAGUCGUACAUGGUGAUUGAGAAAUUAAUAGUUGUUAAAAGUUUAUUUUUAUCUAUCUAUAACAAAAGCCGAAUAAGUCUUCACAUUGUUAAACGAAUAUACGCUAUAGAUCAAAUUAAAAGAUAACUAACAAAAGAAUUCCAACAACUGAUUCGAAUGUCAUCGAAGGGUGUUCUAUUUUAAACAAAUCAGCCGAAUAUUUCGAAAACUCUGAACUCGACAGACAGAAAUGGUUCAGAUAAAAUUUAUAAGAUUUUCGAGAGGAAAAGGAUGAUGAUCUUGAAUUACGAUCAUUCAUCAAUAUCAUAUAGAGAUCAACUUUUUUUUUUUUAAUAGAAAAUGCUACUUUUUAUAGUAGAUUCUAAAAAAUCAUUCAAUUCUGCGUAGAAAAUUUGUAAGACGUGUAUGGUUUAAGCCCAAUAGUUUACAAGUUAUUUAACGAUAAAAAAUACAACUUCGCUAAUUUCUAUUAAGAAUGAUGCGCGCACGAACUUACCAUUAGCGUUUCAAGUUCCUCUUACUGGCUUACUUCUGAUUUUAAAAUUUAAAUACGUCUACACACAGUAAAAUAUAUUCAUUGAUAGUUCCCACAUUUAAUUCUUUUCGAGUCGAAUAAAUGUCUAUUUUAUUUUUGACGUAAGAAGAGCUCACUGGUUUCAUGCAAUGGAUACGAAUAAAUAUUCAUCGAUAUAGAAAGACAUCUCUCUUAUUUGGACAGUGUACAUUAUUUUCAAUUUACACAAUUCUUUAUAGACAAAAUCAAAAUCGCCACUAAAUCUGUGAUUGAAAAAUAAUCGAAGCUCAUCGGUAUAAAAAAAAGGAUCCGCUUUCUUUGGAAUCUUAAUAUAAUGUAAUAUGUUUAUAUAUGUAUAUAUAUGUAUAUAAUAUUGGCGCGCAAAUACUAUUAAUAACAGGAAGAGACGCAGAAACGUGUAAACAGGGAAAUUACGUGUGGAAAAUUAUGUACGUGUAUUAAACGGCAUGCUGCUGCCUUUUCUGCUGCGAUACGUAACAAAAAUACACACUUUCGGCAAAACUUGCUUUGAACAUUGAUCGUGCGUCGUUGCGAGAUAAUUCGAGAAGAGUAAAGCUACAAUUGGCUGAUUUUCUUUCAUUUACAACAGUAGUAAUUACCGUCUGUCCAGUAUAUAACAUUAAUUGCACAUAGCGAAUACUGAAUGUUCCUGAUGAAACUUAUAUAUUACUAUUAGCUAAACCUAACUACGCUAAACAAAAGGUAAAUGUAGAAAAUAAAAUUAUGAACAUUAUAAAGUUCCUCACUGUGGUAAUCGA
This is a long non-coding RNA of Odontomachus brunneus, 1509 nucleotides long. RefSeq lists it as uncharacterized. The record is from RefSeq and is a predicted model, not a curated record. NCBI's taxonomy places the organism in Eukaryota, Metazoa, Arthropoda, Insecta, Hymenoptera, Formicidae. The transcript is spliced from 2 exons.